GGGAUGCGUUCCAUUAGGCAGUUGGUGAGGUAACGGCUCACCAAACCUUCGAUGGAUAGGGGUUCUGAGAGGAAGGUCCCCCACAUUGGAACUGAGACACGGUCCAAACUCCUACGGGAGGCAGCAGUGAGGAAUAUUGGUCAAUGGGCGCAGGCCUGAACCAGCCAAGUAGCGUGAAGGAUGACUGCCCUAUGGGUUGUAAACUUCUUUUAUAUGGGAAUAAAGUUUUCCACGUGUGGAAUUUUGUAUGUACCAUAUGAAUAAGGAUCGGCUAACUCCGUGCCAGCAGCCGCGGUAAUACGGAGGAUCCGAGCGUUAUCCGGAUUUAUUGGGUUUAAAGGGAGCGUAGGUGGACAGUUAAGUCAGUUGUGAAAGUUUGCGGCUCAACCGUAAAAUUGCAGUUGAUACUGGCUGUCUUGAGUACAGUAGAGGUGGGCGGAAUUCGUGGUGUAGCGGUGAAAUGCUUAGAUAUCACGAAGAACUCCGAUUGCGAAGGCAGCUCACUGGACUGCAACUGACACUGAUGCUCGAAAGUGUGGGUAUCAAACAGGAUUAGAUACCCUGGUAGUCCACACAGUAAACGAUGAAUACUCGCUGUUUGCGAUAUACAGUAAGCGGCCAAGCGAAAGCAUUAAGUAUUCCACCUGGGGAGUACGCCGGCAACGGUGAAACUCAAAGGAAUUGACGGGGGCCCGCACAAGCGGAGGAACAUGUGGUUUAAUUCGAUGAUACGCGAGGAACCUUACCCGGGCUUAAAUUGCAUUUGAAUAUAUUGGAAACAGUAUAGUCGUAAGACAAAUGUGAAGGUGCUGCAUGGUUGUCGUCAGCUCGUGCCGUGAGGUGUCGGCUUAAGUGCCAUAACGAGCGCAACCCUUAUCUUUAGUUACUAACAGGUCAUGCUGAGGACUCUAGAGAGACUGCCGUCGUAAGAUGUGAGGAAGGUGGGGAUGACGUCAAAUCAGCACGGCCCUUACGUCCGGGGCUACACACGUGUUACAAUGGGGGGUACAGAAGGCAGCUACCUGGUGACAGGAUGCUAAUCCCAAAAGCCUCUCUCAGUUCGGAUCGAAGUCUGCAACCCGACUUCGUGAAGCUGGAUUCGCUAGUA
RNAcentral lists this ribosomal RNA (1108 nucleotides) under Bacteroides thetaiotaomicron. RNAcentral's name for it is "bacterial SSU rRNA". It matches the Rfam family "Bacterial small subunit ribosomal RNA", at positions 228 to 1340 of the family's 1533-position model. The record is from RNAcentral. Lineage: Bacteria; Pseudomonadati; Bacteroidota; Bacteroidia; Bacteroidales; Bacteroidaceae.